Molecule: ribosomal RNA, 211 nt
Filed under: uncultured bacterium
Lineage: Bacteria
Description: partial 16S ribosomal RNA
Rfam family: Bacterial small subunit ribosomal RNA
Source: RNAcentral
CAAGCCGGAAACGGGACUGCUAAUACCGCAUAAUGCAGCGGCUCGACAUCGAGACAGUUGUUAAAGCGGGGGACCGGAGCAAUCCGACCUCGCGCCUAAAGAGGAGCCUGCGGCAGAUUAGCUAGUUGGCAGGGUAAUGGCCUACCAAGGCGACGAUCUGUAACCGGCCUGAGAGGGCGGUUGGUCACACUGACACUGACAUACGGGUCAG